This 17-nucleotide unclassified non-coding RNA is filed under the name Bacillus subtilis subsp. subtilis str. 168. Its description in RNAcentral is "RNA (5'-R(*CP*CP*UP*GP*CP*UP*UP*UP*GP*CP*AP*CP*GP*CP*AP*GP*G)-3') from Bacillus subtilis subsp. subtilis str. 168 (PDB 5ZW4, chain D)". The record is from RNAcentral. Lineage: Bacteria; Bacillati; Bacillota; Bacilli; Caryophanales; Bacillaceae.
CCUGCUUUGCACGCAGG